Molecule: long non-coding RNA, 841 nt
Filed under: Camelus dromedarius (Arabian camel)
Lineage: Eukaryota; Metazoa; Chordata; Mammalia; Artiodactyla; Camelidae
Description: lncRNA (ENSCDRG00005012677.1)
Source: RNAcentral
GCCGGCGCGCGGCGCGCCCCUCCGGAGAAGAGGAGGAGGGAAGAGGAGGAGGAAGGAGGCGGGAGGAGGAGUUGCGGAGAGGAGGGCUGAGCACGGCAGUCGCACGCGCUGGGGAGGAAGCGGGAAGCGGGGCUGCCGCCGGGGCGUCACACUUGGAGACUAUGUUUGGGGAGCGGUGGCUAUCCCAUUGUCCCUGGGAGGAGACUCUUGAGUAGUAGAGAAGAAGAAAAGAAGAGACGGCAUCUCUCUGAAGGCCUGGGAGACGACCAGUUGUCUGAGCAUCAGUAAACCUUGAAGGUGUCACGAUGCCAUCCUGAAAUCUUCCAACAGCCUGGUUUCUGGGAGGUGCAAGGAACUGAGUGAUUCAUCUGGAUCAUCUGCUGCAUCAUCAGGAAAGAGUGCCUGAGGGACAGAGGCAGGAUGAGGACUUCACAUCCCUGGCAUCUAACCUCUGCCGGCUCAUGGCCUACCUCUACAUGGCGCUACCUUUUGACUGCAAUGUGCAGAGAUCAGUGUCCGCCCACGGCCUACCCCCUCUUGGGAAGGGACUCGGACAAAUUUGCCGCCAUGACGGUUGACACUUCUCAUCUAGGAUGGAGGAAUGGGGUUCCGAAAUUUGUUCCACCACUUUUGAAAGGAUUGCAGCUGUGAGGGUGAGACGUCGUCCACCGUGCUGAUGAAGCCAGCCUCUCCCGUUUGGCAGGGAGAAUGUGCCUGUGUCCCUGACCCCCGGGAGCCAGCACGCAAGCCCUGGACUCUGUGACCCAGACUCUUCGGUGAGUGCGAAAAAAACCCGAUCGUGUUUAAGGUACUGUUAUUUCAUUUCUCUGUUAUGGCAGCC